This 504-nucleotide ribosomal RNA is filed under the name uncultured Actinomycetes bacterium. RNAcentral's name for it is "bacterial SSU rRNA". It matches the Rfam family "Bacterial small subunit ribosomal RNA", at positions 349 to 864 of the family's 1533-position model. Lineage: Bacteria; Bacillati; Actinomycetota; Actinomycetes. The record is from RNAcentral.
CAGCAGUGGGGAAUAUUGCACAAUGGGCGCAAGCUGAUGCAGCAACGCCGCGUGAGGGAUGAAGGCCUUCGGGUUGUAAACCUCUCUUAGCAGGGAAGAAGCGAAAGUGACGGUACCUGCAGAAAAAGCACCGGCUAACUACGUGCCAGCAGCCGCGGUAAUACGUAGGGUGCAAGCGUUGUCCGGAAUUAUUGGGCGUAAAGAGCUCGUAGGCGGUUUGUCGCGUCUGCUGUGAAAACUGGAAGCUCAACUUCCAGCCUGCAGUGGGUACGGGCAGACUAGAGUGCGGUAGGGGAGAACGGAAUUCCUGGUGUAGCGGUGGAAUGCGCAGAUAUCAGGAGGAACACCGAUGGCGAAGGCAGUUCUCUGGGCCGUUACUGACGCUGAGGAGCGAAAGCGUGGGGAGCGAACAGGAUUAGAUACCCUGGUAGUCCACGCCGUAAACGGUGGGUGCUAGCUGUGGGCCACAUUCCACGUGGUCCGUGACGAAGCAAUCACAGUAAG